This 530-nucleotide long non-coding RNA is filed under the name Salmo salar (Atlantic salmon). Its description in RNAcentral is "lncRNA (ENSSSAG00000087629.1, ENSSSAG00000094134.1, ENSSSAG00020077230.1)". Lineage: Eukaryota; Metazoa; Chordata; Actinopteri; Salmoniformes; Salmonidae. The record is from RNAcentral.
CCUUUGGAGAAGAGACAGAAAGCUAUUGCAUCAUCGAGACACUUAGUAGAAUAAAUGUGUCAAUAGUCUGAGUCAGACUAAGGUCAGGGUCAGACCAGAGGUGGCAGCAGUCUGACCUCAUAGAGAGCCAAACAGAUCCUCAGUCCCUGUCUCCCAUGAUGCCCUUUCUAAUCCACCACUCUUUGGCCAAUGACCGUAUUAAGAAGACACUUGAUCUUCCCAUUAUCAACAUUUAAAUCCCUCGUCCAACUCAUGCCAAAUCACAAAUACUGUUAUUAUUCCAAAGACUUGCUCUCUGAGAUUCCACAGUGUGCAGAUAGUGACAAUGGAUAGGACACAUAUGACAUAACAGGUUUCAGCAACUCUCUGUCCUAUACCUUGCUGUUGCAGGGAGAGGACUGGCUGACACUGAUGCCUCCCCUCAGAAGACACCAGACCAGAUGAGAAGUUCACCCACACACUGUGAAUUGGAAAAUGUUCCAAAGGUCACAAGCAGAGAGACAGGCAGUUGUUCCAUCCAGAGAACUAAC